Molecule: transfer RNA, 55 nt
Filed under: Amblyceps foratum
Lineage: Eukaryota; Metazoa; Chordata; Actinopteri; Siluriformes; Amblycipitidae
Description: partial tRNA-Ser
Source: RNAcentral
AAAGAGGCUUGAAGCAAUAAGGACUGCUAAUCCUUCCCCCCGCAGUUAAAAUCCG